Molecule: ribosomal RNA, 460 nt
Filed under: uncultured bacterium
Lineage: Bacteria
Description: partial 16S ribosomal RNA
Rfam family: Bacterial small subunit ribosomal RNA
Source: RNAcentral
CCUACGGGAGGCAGCAGUGAGGAAUAUUGGUCAAUGGACGAGAGUCUGAACCAGCCAAGUCGCGUGAAGGAUGACUGCCCUAUGGGUUGUAAACUUCUUUUAUCAGGGAAUAAAAUGUUCCACGUGUGGGAGUUUGUAUGUACCAUAUGAAUAAGGAUCGGCUAACUCCGUGCCAGCAGCCGCGGUAAUACGGAGGAUCCGAGCGUUAUCCGGAUUUAUUGGGUUUAAAGGGAGCGUAGGUGGAUUGUUAAGUCAGUUGUGAAAGUUUGCGGAUCAACCGUAAAACUGCAGUUGAAACUGGCAGUCUUGAGUACAGUAGAGGUGGGCGGAAUGCGUGGUGUAGCGGUGAAAUGCUUAGAUAUCACGAAGAACUCCGAUUGCGAAGGCAGCUCACUGGACUGCAACUGACACUGAGGCUCGAAAGUGUGGGUAUCAAACAGGAUUAGAUACCCGAGUAGUC